RNAcentral lists this ribosomal RNA (449 nucleotides) under uncultured bacterium. RNAcentral describes it as "bacterial SSU rRNA". It matches the Rfam family "Bacterial small subunit ribosomal RNA", at positions 328 to 792 of the family's 1533-position model. The record is from RNAcentral.
UUGCCAGACUCCUACGGGAGGCCGCAGUGGGGCCUCUUGGGCAAUGGGCGCAAGCCUGCCCCAGCAAUGCCGCGUGAAGGAAGAAGGCUUUCGGGUUGUAACCUUCUUUGACAGGGGACGAGCAGAAGACGGUACCCUGAAAACCAGCCACGGCUAACUACGUGCCAGCAGCCGCGGUAAUACGUAGGUGGCAAGCGUUGUCCGGAUUUACUGGGGGGAAAGGGCGGGGAGCCGGGAAGGCAAGUCAGAUGUGAAAGCGGGAGGCGCAACCGCCGAAGGGCAGGGGAAACGGUGGGGCUGGAGGAGCGGAGAGGCAGGCGGAAGGCCUAGGGGAGCGGUGAAAGGCGGAGAUAUGAGGAGGAACACCAGGGGCGAAGGCGGCCUGCGGGACGACAACUGACGGUGAGGCGCGAAAGCGGGGGGAGCAAACAGGAGUAGAGACCCCAGUA